UACGAAGGGGGCUAGCGUUGUUCGGAUUUACUGGGCGUAAAGCGCACGUAGGCGGGUCGUUAAGUCAGGGGUGAAAUCCCGGAACUCAACUCCGGAACUGCCUUUGAUACUGGCGACCUUGAGGCUGGAAGAGGUUAGUGGAAUUCCCAGUGUAGAGGUGAAAUUCGUAGAUAUUGGGAAGAACACCAGUGGCGAAGGCGGCUAACUGGUCCAGAUCUGACGCUGAGGUGCGAAAGCGUGGGGAGCAAACAGG
Molecule: ribosomal RNA, 253 nt
Filed under: uncultured bacterium
Lineage: Bacteria
Description: partial 16S ribosomal RNA
Rfam family: Bacterial small subunit ribosomal RNA
Source: RNAcentral